This 457-nucleotide ribosomal RNA is filed under the name uncultured bacterium. Its description in RNAcentral is "partial 16S ribosomal RNA". It matches the Rfam family "Bacterial small subunit ribosomal RNA", at positions 338 to 795 of the family's 1533-position model. The record is from RNAcentral.
CCUACGGUGUGCAGCAGUGGGGAAUAUUGCACAAUGGGGGAAACCCUGAUGCAGCGACGCCGCGUGAGUGAAGAAGUAUUUCGGUAUGUAAAGCUCUAUCAGCAGGGAAGAAAUAAAGUCCUUCGGACUUUGGACGGUACCUGACUAAGAAGCCCCGGCUAACUACGUGCCAGCAGCCGCGGUAAUACGUAGGGGGCAAGCGUUAUCCGGAUUUACUGGGUGUAAAGGGAGCGUAGACGGCAGCGCAAGUCUGGAGUGAAAUCCCAUGGCUUAACCAUGGAACUGCUUUGGAAACUGUGCAGCUGGAGUGCAGGAGAGGUAAGCGGAAUUCCUAGUGUAGCGGUGAAAUGCGUAGAUAUUAGGAGGAACACCAGUGGCGAAGGCGGCCUGCUGGACGACAACUGACGGUGAGGCGCGAAAGCGUGGGGAGCAAACAGGAUUAGAUACCCCAGUAGUC